RNAcentral lists this long non-coding RNA (384 nucleotides) under Chlamydomonas reinhardtii. RNAcentral describes it as "long non-coding RNA (CREI_LNC001391)". Lineage: Eukaryota; Viridiplantae; Chlorophyta; Chlorophyceae; Chlamydomonadales; Chlamydomonadaceae. The record is from RNAcentral.
AAUGCGUUUACGCAGCCCUGCUCAACGUACUGUGUGGCUUAGCUCCAGACUCCGGCCGGAGAUGUCGCUAUUCCCAUCGUAGGAGUUGAUCAGACUCUCAAAUAUUACAACGAGACUAGGCUUGGUCUGUAAUACGGGGCGCACGUUCGGGACGAGAGCCAAAAGACGAGCUGGUGGCUCUCUCCCACGCACUUGGCCUCGAGACGUCGCUGCCUCCAUGCAGUACGACGCUCUUAUCCGAACAGAUCUUUCUAUAGUCCGCGCAUACAAGCGUGACUCCAAAUCAUGCAGAACGUAAAUCUUAUUGUCUUGUCUGCACACUAAUGAAAAGAGGGAAAUGCAAAGACCGGACCCAAUGGUCGGUGUGACAUGGCAAGCACGCUC